Long non-coding RNA from Scatophagus argus, 667 nucleotides. RefSeq lists it as uncharacterized. The record is from RefSeq and is a predicted model, not a curated record. NCBI's taxonomy places the organism in Eukaryota, Metazoa, Chordata, Actinopteri, Scatophagidae. The transcript is spliced from 4 exons.
CCCCAACCUUCCAGUGGUCUGUACGAUUAUGCCUCAGUCUCCAUUUAAGUUUAUCAGACACCUGUUUGGACAUGGCCUCGAAAAUGGCGUCAAGAGUCAGGUGCGGAAAAGAGAAAAAAGAAGAGAAAGCGAGAUGAUGCUCACGCGUCGCAAGGUCAGUGCUUAAAUAUGUGCAAGGAGGAACUCAAGACCAGGAGGUAAAUUUAGAUAAUCAGCCAUCCACCAGCAGUUCAAGCCCACAACAUCAACCACCAACCAGCUGGAGUGCAGUCAUGUUGGCCUGCUCAGUGAACCAGUAAAGGGGCAGCAGUUCUUUGCAGGCUCAGACCCUUGAGAGGUGAGAAAGGAGGGAGGCCCUCAUAGCCCAGCAGCUGACGGGUGGCCGACUCCCAGCUCAAACCGAACUCCAGGCGGCUGUAGACGCAUGGGUAAUGCUGGUCAGCCCAGCAAACCCAGCUCACCGCUUUCUUCACCUCCUCCCACCUCUCAGGCCUGGAAGAAAGAGGAAGUUGUAACCAAAGAGGUACCUAAUGAGACCUGUGCUGAGAGGAGUCAUCCAGGCAGAACAGGGUGCGGAGCAGUUUGCCUUCUUCCAUCUCCUCCACCCUCAGCAGCUGCAGAACCAAGAGAGUCGCCACCAACCUCAGUAUGUCUGCAUGGGCCCUCA